CUUGGGGGGGGGUCCUUCAGCUAAGAUUGCGAGAGGGCGCAGGCCAUGCUGAUGGACACCACUGGUGCAUG
Molecule: microRNA precursor, 71 nt
Filed under: Myotis lucifugus (little brown bat)
Lineage: Eukaryota; Metazoa; Chordata; Mammalia; Chiroptera; Vespertilionidae
Description: mir-9193 microRNA precursor family
Rfam family: mir-9193 microRNA precursor family
Source: Rfam by way of RNAcentral